Long non-coding RNA from Anguilla anguilla (European eel), 343 nucleotides. RefSeq lists it as uncharacterized. The record is from RefSeq and is a predicted model, not a curated record. Lineage: Eukaryota; Metazoa; Chordata; Actinopteri; Anguilliformes; Anguillidae. The transcript is spliced from 3 exons.
GAGAAGCCGCCAUGUUCGGAGCCACCAUAAAAAGGUACAGAUUCACUGCAGAGAUCUGCCUUGCCCUCCUUCGGCUGGCGAGUGACAGCAAACGGGCAGGAAAAGUCUCUCGUGAAUCGCAAAUACGUUGGGCAUCGGAACAAAGGAUCUCCGAUCAGCGCUGUGCAAGUUGAGCUGGUCAGGGCCACAUCCUGGAUCCAUGAGCCGAGAAAACAGGUCACCGUGACAACUGUGCGUGUGAACGAGAACCUGCUGAGGAUACAGUAAAAAUGAACGAGGGACCCCUGUGCUAAGACCGAGCGCAGGAAGAGGCGAGAGGGGUUAGGAAUGAACGACUCGGCGU